UCCGGUUUGGCACCGGCAGUCUGACUAGAGUCCCCGACAUUACUCGCUGGCAACUAGUCACAAGGGGGGCACCAUCUCUGAUGCUUUCCGGCGUAUGUCAAGCCUUGGUAAGGUUCUUCGCGUUGCGUCGAAUUAAGCCACAUGCUCCGCUGCUUGUGCGGGCCCCCGUCAAUUCCUUUGAGUUUUAGCCUUGCGGCCGUACUCCCCAGGCGGGGAACUUAAUGCGUUAGCUGCGGCACCGACGACGUGGAAUGUCGCCAACACCUAGUUCCCACCGUUUACGGCGUGGACUAC
This 294-nucleotide unclassified non-coding RNA is filed under the name uncultured Actinomycetes bacterium. Its description in RNAcentral is "uncultured actinobacterium contains 16S-23S intergenic spacer region". The record is from RNAcentral. Lineage: Bacteria; Bacillati; Actinomycetota; Actinomycetes.